Molecule: long non-coding RNA, 273 nt
Filed under: Mytilus galloprovincialis (Mediterranean mussel)
Lineage: Eukaryota; Metazoa; Mollusca; Bivalvia; Mytilida; Mytilidae
Source: RNAcentral
CAAAUUCAAAAAGUGCGAUCCAUGAACACUGACAUAUAAAGCAUUAUCAAUAACCAAACAAGUGAAAAACCAUUGCGAUAUUCCUGACUUGUUACAGACAUUUCCCCAAAGGAAUAAUGGUUAAUCCUGGAUUAUACCUAGCUUAACCUCCUACUUGUAUGACAGUUCCGUUAAAUUUACAAAAUUGGGAGAGCAACCUAUAACAACCAAAUUUAGUUAAAAUGACAUUAAUUGGGAUCCAGAAGCCAAAACUAUGUUAAUAUACAUCGCAAC